This 447-nucleotide ribosomal RNA is filed under the name uncultured bacterium. Its description in RNAcentral is "bacterial SSU rRNA". It matches the Rfam family "Bacterial small subunit ribosomal RNA", at positions 169 to 602 of the family's 1533-position model. The record is from RNAcentral.
CCGCAUAAUCCGGCUGAAUUUUGGUUUGGUCGGCAAAGGUGGCCUCUCAUGAAAGCUACCGGGAAGAGAUGAGUCCGCGUCCCAUUAGCUAGUUGGUGGGUAACGGCCUACCAAGGCGACGAUGGGUAGCUGGUCUGAGAGGACGACAGCCACACUGGAACUGGUACACGGUCCAGACUCCUACGGGAGGCAGCAUGAGGAAUAUUGCGCAAUGGGGGAAACCCUGACGCAGCGAUGCCGCGUGGUGAAGAAGGCCUUCGGGUCGUAAAGCUCUGUCAAGUGGGAAGAACUGCUAUGGACGAAUAAUCCAUAGGUUUGACGGUACCACUGAAGGAAGCACCGGUAACUCCGUGCCAGCAGCCGCGGUAAGACGGAGGGUGCAAGCGUUAUUCGAUUUAUUGGGCGUAAAGAGCGUGUAGGCGGCCGGUCAAGCCAGAUGUGAGCCCA